AUUGAACGCUGGCGGCAGGCCUAACACAUGCAAGUCGAACGAGUGGCGGACGGGUGAGUAAUGUCUGGGAAACUGCCUGAUGGAGGGGGAUAACUACUGGAAACGGUAGCUAAUACCGCAUACCAACCAAUGUACCAUGAGGGGAUGAGCUGGUUGGUGUGGUAACGGCUCACCAAGGCGAAGAUCCCUAGCUGGCCGGAGAGGAUGACCAGCCACACUGGAACUGAGACACGGCCCAGACUCCUACGGGAGGCAGCAGUGGGGAAUAUUGCGCAAUGGGCGCAAGCCUGAUGGAGCAAUGCCGCGUGUAUGAAGAAGGCUUUCGGGUCGUAAAGUACUUUCAGCGGGGAGGCGUUACCCAAAGAAGAAGCACCGGCUAACUCCGUGCCAGCAGCCGCGGUAAUAC
This 406-nucleotide ribosomal RNA is filed under the name uncultured bacterium. Its description in RNAcentral is "partial 16S ribosomal RNA". It matches the Rfam family "Bacterial small subunit ribosomal RNA", at positions 29 to 526 of the family's 1533-position model. The record is from RNAcentral.